Molecule: ribosomal RNA, 463 nt
Filed under: uncultured bacterium
Lineage: Bacteria
Description: bacterial SSU rRNA
Rfam family: Bacterial small subunit ribosomal RNA
Source: RNAcentral
UACGGGGAGGCAGCAGUGGGGAAUAUUGCACAAUGGGGGAAACCCUGAUGCAGCCAUGCCGCGUGUGUGAAGAAGCCUUCGGGUUGUAAAGCACUUUCAGUAGGGAGGAAGGUAGUGUAGUUAACACCUGCAUUAUUUGACGUUACCUACAGAAGAAGCACCGGCUAACUCCGUGCCAGCAGCCGCGGUAAUACGGAGGGUGCGAGCGUUAAUCGGAAUUACUGGGCGUAAAGCGCAUGCAGGCGGCCUGUUAAGUCAGAUGUGAAAGCCCGGGGCUUAACCUCGGAAUUGCAUUUGUAAACUGGCAGGCUAGAGUCUUGUAGAGGGGGGUAGGAAUUUCAGGUGUAGCGGUGAAAUGCGUAGAGAUCUGAAGGAAUACCAGUGGCGAAGGCGGCCCCCUGGACAAAGACUGACGCUCAGAUGCGAAAGCGUGGGGAGCAAACAGGAUUAGAUACCCUGGUAG